This 418-nucleotide ribosomal RNA is filed under the name uncultured bacterium. RNAcentral describes it as "bacterial SSU rRNA". It matches the Rfam family "Bacterial small subunit ribosomal RNA", at positions 68 to 485 of the family's 1533-position model. The record is from RNAcentral.
GGCAGCGCGGAGGCAACCCUGGCGGCGAGCGGCGGACGGGUGAGGAAUGCAUCGGAUCUACCCUGAUGUGGGGGAUAACGUAGGGAACCUUACGCUAAUACCGCAUACGACCUACGGGUGAAAGCGGGGGACCUUCGGCCUCGCGCAGCAGGAUGAGCCGAUGCCGGAUUAGCUAGUUGGUGGGGUAAAGGCCCACCAAGGCGACGAUCCCGUAGCUGGUCUGAGAGGAUGAUCAGCCACACUGGGACUGAGACACGGCCCAGACUCCUACGGGAGGCAGCAGUGGGGAAUAUUGGACAAUGGGCGCAAGCCUGAUCCAGCCAUGCCGCGUGUGUGAAGAAGGCUUCGGGUUGUAAAGCACUUUUGUACGGGAAGAAAUCGUUUGGGUUAAUACCUGAGCGGAUGACGUACCGUAAGA